GUGAAUAAACUCGAGUGGGUUGUUGCUGACCUCUUCGGAGGUAUGUGCACGCCUGCCAUCGUUUCAUUCUCCCUUCCACCUGUGCACUCAUUGUGGAUCAAGCCACCAAUCCUUCAGGCAUUCAUUGUCUGGCAUGAGGACUUGCACAUUGCUGCUGUUCUUGGGUGGUUCUGGUCUACGUCUUUAUCAACUCCAUUGUAUGUGAUUGAAUGUAUGAUUUGGGUACUUUACGGCCCAUAAACCUUUAUA
RNAcentral lists this unclassified non-coding RNA (249 nucleotides) under uncultured Pluteus. RNAcentral's name for it is "sequence contains ITS1". Lineage: Eukaryota; Fungi; Basidiomycota; Agaricomycetes; Agaricales; Pluteaceae. The record is from RNAcentral.